RNAcentral lists this ribosomal RNA (497 nucleotides) under uncultured bacterium. RNAcentral's name for it is "partial 16S ribosomal RNA". It matches the Rfam family "Bacterial small subunit ribosomal RNA", at positions 28 to 507 of the family's 1533-position model. The record is from RNAcentral.
GAUGAACGCUGGCGGCGUGCCUAAUACAUGCAAGUCGAGCGAACAGACGAGGAUCUUGCUCCUCUGACGUUAGCGGCGGACGGGUGAGUCACACGUGGAUAACCCACCUCUACGACUUGGAUAACUUCGGGAAACCGUAGCUAAUACCGGGUAAUAUCUUUAACCGCAUGGUUCAAUAGUUAAAUACGUUUUUGCUGUCACUGAUAGCUGUAUCCGCGCCGCAGUAGCUAGUUGGUAAGGUAACGGCUUACCAAGGCAACGAUGCGUAGCCGACCUGAGAGGGUUAUCCGGCAUGCGAGAGCGGAGAGACGGUCCAGACUCCAAAGAGAGGCAGCAGAAGGAAAGGUGGCGGAAGGGGCGAAAACUUGACAAAGCGACGAAGCGUGAGGGAGGAAGGUCGUCGGAUCGUAAAACUCUGUUGUGAGGGAAGAACAAAUGGGUAAGUAACAAGGCACGUCUUGACGGUACCUAGACAGAAAGCAACGGCUAACUACGUG